Molecule: transfer RNA, 77 nt
Filed under: Undibacterium umbellatum
Lineage: Bacteria; Pseudomonadati; Pseudomonadota; Betaproteobacteria; Burkholderiales; Oxalobacteraceae
Also listed under: 1 other name
Description: Undibacterium sp. NL8W tRNA-Pro
Rfam family: tRNA
About the family: Transfer RNA (tRNA) molecules are approximately 80 nucleotides in length. Their secondary structure includes four short double-helical elements and three loops (D, anti-codon, and T loops). Further hydrogen bonds mediate the characteristic L-shaped molecular structure. tRNAs have two regions of fundamental functional importance: the anti-codon, which is responsible for specific mRNA codon recognition, and the 3' end, to which the tRNAs corresponding amino acid is attached (by aminoacyl-tRNA synthetases). tRNAs cope with the degeneracy of the genetic code in two manners: having more than one tRNA (with a specific anti-codon) for a particular amino acid; and 'wobble' base-pairing, i.e. permitting non-standard base-pairing at the 3rd anti-codon position.
Source: RNAcentral
CGGAGUGUGGCGCAGCCUGGUAGCGCUACUGCCCUGGGAGCAGAAGGUCCGAGGUUCGAAUCCUCGCACUCCGACCA